RNAcentral lists this non-coding RNA (180 nucleotides) under Paramaledivibacter caminithermalis. The record is from RNAcentral. RNAcentral also lists the same sequence under 1 other name. Lineage: Bacteria; Bacillati; Bacillota; Clostridia; Peptostreptococcales; Caminicellaceae.
CAGCAAAAUAGAGAUGUAGGUGCCUCAAAAGAGGGUAAAAGGGAAGUACGGUGAAAAUCCGUCGCAGCCCCCGCUACUGUAAACAUCGACGAAACCUCAUAAAGUCACUGAUCAUAUUGGGAAGGCGAGGGAGUAGGGUGAAGUGUGAGUCAGGAAACCUGCCUAUGUUGUUAAAUGUCU